Molecule: long non-coding RNA, 752 nt
Filed under: Capsella rubella
Lineage: Eukaryota; Viridiplantae; Streptophyta; Magnoliopsida; Brassicales; Brassicaceae
Description: long non-coding RNA (CRUB_LNC001557)
Source: RNAcentral
AAAAAUGGCAACGGAGAUUCCAAUAGAGAGAUCUUCUACAAUAAUAAGGGCAAGAGGCCGAGAGAAAGAAAGAGCCGGCGAAAAGAAGAAUCAAGUUUUUUAUUGUGUUCGUAGAGCUAAAUUUGAUAGAUCUUAACAAGAGGCAUAUUGGUGUUUCAUGGUGAAAAAAAUGGUGGAAGCAACAAGCCAACUAUGAAGAUAAAGGAAGAAAGAGAAAUCACAAAAGAAUAAGACAAAACCUGGUAAUUGUUUACUCCUCUGUUGAUGGAAGUUAGUUUCCUAAUUCUUUUCAAAUCUAGCGUCAUUUGUUAUAUAUUCUCUUAAAACAUUGGGUUUUUGGGAAAUCAAUUGCCUAAAAUGAUUUUAGCACAAUAUAUAGAUAUAUGAAUUCGCAUACGAAGAAGCUAUUGUAUUGGAAAGACAACUAGAGCUUAUUCAUGAAAAAGAGAGAAAGGAACUUUAAGGCAAAAAGAUCUUGGCAUUUCGUCGAACAGAUCCAACGGAUCAGCCAAUCUAUUGUUCCUCUUUGUAUCCCGUAAGCCGUAAUCAUCUUGGUGUAAAGACUCACAUGAGGUGAAGGAACCUGAUUGAAAAUCUCUCGUGCCUCAUCCAGUCUUGGGUUCAACAAGUGGUGACUACAUAUCAAAACUUCAUGAUUCCAAAAUGAAAUAAGCUCGAAACUUGAAUCGUUGAAAAAUUGGGCGACUCCUCAUACUUUUAACGGUCUCAUCAAGGAAUAAAAACAAUAUAUG